This is a long non-coding RNA of Esox lucius (northern pike), 1180 nucleotides long. The record is from Ensembl. NCBI's taxonomy places the organism in Eukaryota, Metazoa, Chordata, Actinopteri, Esociformes, Esocidae.
UUGAAAAUGGAGCGGCGGGGGAGAGGAGAAUCUCGUUGCCAUCUCCUCCAUCGCUGAGGGAGAGAGAGGCGCGUCCACCCGACUCCUCUAGCCGAGGCCCGUUGAUCUGGUGGCGGCGGAGGAACACGGGAUCAUGCCGCGGUCGUGUCCGUGUUUUAGUGGAAAGACACAUCUCUGAUAUCGGUCCAAAAGGCGACGGAGAGGGAUCACUUCACAACCGGGAAAAACGCAGUUUUGCUGCAGGAGCUGGAGUUUGAAGCAGGGCAUGGUGUCAGCAGGCUGAGGCGUCCUGUUCAGGGGCUGUGCAGAGGAAGGAGACAGGCGGCUGUGAUCUGGCCUCUGCAUUCCAAGGCUGGUCCUCUCAGACCCUGCUUGGGUUCUGAUUCAUCUCAGUGAACAAUACCACAGAACUGUGGAACCAUUCAUGCAUUCAUUCAUCCAUCCAUUCAUUCAUUCAUUCGUAAUCUCUACUUGUUGGUUUGAAUAUAAUUUGACGAUCUGAUGAGCUGAAUCCCUUUAGAACUGGGUGGGGGGGUGCAGAUGCAUCAUAACCAGAUUCAGUCACAGGAAACAGAAUAACGGACUGGAGUGAUUCCCCUGGGAAUAACAGGCUGUAUGAAAAGAUAUAUGUACACUGAUUUACAUCUCAAUCUAGACACAGCGGAAUACCUCAGCACCCCCACGAACCCCAACCUGAAGAAACAGAGAGUGAGAAAGGAGGGAGAGAAAGAGAGAGAGGGAGAGAGGGAGAGCUAGCAGGUGAAAGAGAGACAUGAAGGGAGAGAGAGAAGCAGGUCUGCCUUAGGGAGUGAACCACAGUAUCCCCAAGGGACUGAACAAGACUGGGCCCUGCACUGUGUGUGUGUGUGGGUGUGGGUGUCACACACACACACACACACACACACACACACACACACACACACUGUAGCUUAGAGGGGAACAGUGUUAAUCUGAAGAAGUCCUGGUUCAACAUCUCUGUGUCUAUAGAACUCUGUGUGUAUUCUAAUUCAGCUACUCUGAAUCACAGACCAAUCAGAAACUCAAUCAUUUAGCAGAAUCACAAACAGACUGAUCAGAAACUCAAUCACUUAGCAGAAUCACAAACAGACCAAUCAGAAACUCAAUCAUUUAGCAGAAUCAAAAACAGACCAAUCAGAAACUCAAUAAUUUAGCAGAAUCA